CUUGACGACCAUAGAGCAUUGGAACCACCUGAUCCCAUCCCGAACUCAGCAGUGAAACGAUGCAUCGCCGAUGGUAGUAUGGGGUUUCCCCAUGUGAGAGUAGGUCAUCGUCAAGA
This 116-nucleotide ribosomal RNA is filed under the name Pseudomonas sp. GXZC. The record is from RNAcentral. RNAcentral also lists the same sequence under 1 other name. Lineage: Bacteria; Pseudomonadati; Pseudomonadota; Gammaproteobacteria; Pseudomonadales; Pseudomonadaceae.